GUGGGUAUUUGGCCUGAACUGUUGCAAAGAAAUGCUCUACGGUGGGUGUUAGCUAGAGAAAACAAGAGCAUAAUUAUCGGAACUAUGCUGCGCCGUAACAAGCUACACAGAUGCUUGCAAACCUCGGACCAUAGCACUGUUGAAUUCGAUCCAGAUCAUCACACCACACAACGGUUGCAGACAAUUCGGCGCUCCAUGAUCCAAAAUCCGAGGAGUGCUUUAAUCAACAAUUAUCUAGAGAGGAGACGGGCUUAUCUGGCAACAGUGGUACCGGAUGUGUAGUGUGAUAGCUUGUUACAUUAUAGGAUUUGAAGUUAUGUGUCAA
Molecule: long non-coding RNA, 325 nt
Organism: Zea mays
Lineage: Eukaryota; Viridiplantae; Streptophyta; Magnoliopsida; Poales; Poaceae
Exons: 3
Source: RefSeq, a predicted model, not a curated record